Molecule: long non-coding RNA, 972 nt
Filed under: Mus musculus (house mouse)
Lineage: Eukaryota; Metazoa; Chordata; Mammalia; Rodentia; Muridae
Description: long non-coding RNA chr3:89068873-89069845
Source: RNAcentral
AAAAAAUGACUUUUUAAAGUAUUGGAUCGGAAAUUUUAAUUCUUUUCCUCUCUUGGAUUGAGAUCAUUAGGCCAAAUGUAAUACUUUCCCCAUUGACUUUCUGCUCUUAUCAGGAGGUACCCAUGAUCCCUAGGCCCCACUAUGCCCAGCCCGGCUGUGUCUACUUCAUCUGUUUACUCCGAGAUGACUUGCUGCUUCGUCAGGGUAAGGAAAAGGGCUCAAACUCCUCCCGCAUCCCGUCCCCCCACCCCCCCCCAUUUCGUGUGCGUGCUUGUGUGUGUGUGUGUGCGCGCGCGCGCGCGUGCGUGUGUGCACUUUGCAUGCUUAGGAUUGCCUGCCUGGGCUUGUGGAAGGAUCUGUUGUUUACUUCGGCAAGGGAAGGUUACUGUAGGCUAUAACCCUGAGCACAUGACUCUACCCCACUUCUAGCAACCAUUGUCAGUAGCUCUUCAGUAAUGGUUGGGCCUUAUGAGUCCCUUCCUUUGAUUUGAUAGCUUUCGUUUGGGAGGAGGGAGAAGGUGUUAUUGUUGUUGGUUGUAUCUUGUUAUUACUGGGUUUUGGUAUUUCAGACUUUAGCUCAGGCCAGGCCUCAAACUCCCAGGUGUCCUCCUGCCCCAACCUCCCAAGUUCUGGAAUGAGAGGCAUCAGCUCCUCUGCCUGACUUACACUAGUUUCCUGUUACUUACUUUCUGUUUGCUGGGAUGCUGAUUGAUCCAAAGCUUCAAGUAUGUAGGUCGAGUAACCUAGAACUGAGCUGUACCCAAAGUCCUUAUAGUAGCGUUAAACCUAGUUGGCCAGGUAUAGUGGCACAAUAUCAUUAAUCCCAUCUGGAGGCAGAGAAGGGUAGAUCUCUGAAUUUGAGGUUAGCCUGGUCUACUUAGUGAGUUCCAGGCCAGCCAUAGCUACAUAGUAAGACCUGUCUCAAAGGCAAGAUAAAAAAUAUAUAUAUACUGAUAAACCUAGUUAAAAGAC